RNAcentral lists this ribosomal RNA (468 nucleotides) under uncultured bacterium. RNAcentral describes it as "partial 16S ribosomal RNA". It matches the Rfam family "Bacterial small subunit ribosomal RNA", at positions 28 to 507 of the family's 1533-position model. The record is from RNAcentral.
GACGAACGCUGGCGGCGUGCUUAACACAUGCAAGUCGAACGGAAAGGCCCUGCUUUUGUGGGGUGCUCGAGUGGCGAACGGGUGAGUAACACGUGAGUAACCUGCCCUUGACUUUGGGAUAACUUCAGGAAACUGGGGCUAAUACCGGAUAGGAGCUCCUGCUGCAUGGUGGGGGUUGGAAAGUUUCGGCGGUUGGGGAUGGACUCGCGGCUUAUCAGCUUGUUGGUGGGGUAGUGGUUUACCAAGGCUUUGACGGGUAGCCGGCCUGAGAGGGUGACCGGCCACAUGGGGACUGCGGUACGGCCCAGACUCCUACGGGAGGCAGCAGUGGGGAAUAUUGCACAAUGGGCGGAAGUCUGAUGAAGCAACGUCGCGUGCGGGAUGACGGCCUUCGGGUUGUAAACCGCUUUCGCCUGUGACGAAGCGUGAGUGACGGUAAUGGGUAAAGAAGCACCGGCUAACUACGUG